This 210-nucleotide long non-coding RNA is filed under the name Elaeis guineensis (African oil palm). RNAcentral's name for it is "long non-coding RNA (EGUI_LNC066594)". Lineage: Eukaryota; Viridiplantae; Streptophyta; Magnoliopsida; Arecales; Arecaceae. The record is from RNAcentral.
GGGUGAUUGGCUUUAGUACAAGUGAAAGAUUGAAAGAAUAGUAUCUUACAAGCCAAUUGCAUGGAUGAUGCGAUAGAACUAUUCUGUAUAAUCUUCCUACUCAUCUAUAUGACAUUCAUUAUUUUAUAUAUAUGAGGUAUUGUGUUUCAUCAUUUGCUGUAUCAUAUUUUAUUUAUGAUUAUGAUGAACUUCAUAUUGGGUUCUAGUGGC